RNAcentral lists this ribosomal RNA (160 nucleotides) under Puccinia pseudomesnieriana. RNAcentral describes it as "5.8S ribosomal RNA". Lineage: Eukaryota; Fungi; Basidiomycota; Pucciniomycetes; Pucciniales; Pucciniaceae. The record is from RNAcentral.
CACACACUCUUCAAGUAAGUUGGAUUGACUUGGUGUAAUAAUUUAAUCAUCACAUCAAGGAAAGUAGUCAAAUACUUGCCAUCUUUUGAAAGGGGAGGAGAAGAGGGACUUCUAAAACCCCAUUAAAUAUGUUAAGACCUCAAAUCAGGUGGGACUACCC